Molecule: ribosomal RNA, 484 nt
Filed under: Klebsiella pneumoniae
Lineage: Bacteria; Pseudomonadati; Pseudomonadota; Gammaproteobacteria; Enterobacterales; Enterobacteriaceae
Also listed under: 1 other name
Description: partial 23S ribosomal RNA
Rfam family: Bacterial large subunit ribosomal RNA
Source: RNAcentral
GGUUAAGCGACUAAGCGUACACGGUGGAUGCCCUGGCAGUCAGAGGCGAUGAAGGACGUGCUAAUCUGCGAAAAGCGUCGGUAAGGUGAUAUGAACCGUUAUAACCGGCGAUGUCCGAAUGGGGAAACCCAGUGCAAUUCGUUGCACUAUCGUUAACUGAAUACAUAGGUUAACGAGGCGAACCGGGGGAACUGAAACAUCUAAGUACCCCGAGGAAAAGAAAUCAACCGAGAUUCCCCCAGUAGCGGCGAGCGAACGGGGAGCAGCCCAGAGUCUGAAUCAGCUUGUGUGUUAGUGGAACGGUCUGGAAAGUCCGACGGUACAGGGUGAUAGUCCCGUACACCAAAAUGCACAGGCUGUGAACUCGAAGAGUAGGGCGGGACACGUGGUAUCCUGUCUGAAUAUGGGGGGACCAUCCUCCAAGGCUAAAUACUCCUGACUGACCGAUAGUGAACCAGUACCGUGAGGGAAAGGCGAAAAGAAC